Molecule: long non-coding RNA, 584 nt
Organism: Malus domestica (apple)
Lineage: Eukaryota; Viridiplantae; Streptophyta; Magnoliopsida; Rosales; Rosaceae
Source: RefSeq, a predicted model, not a curated record
AGGUUUCUUGUAAGAGAUUUGAAUGUUAAUGUUUUUAUCUUUCUUGGAGGUGAUUAAUGUGAAAAUAUAACUCAAAAAGAUGGUUUUAACCCUAUCUACAUUUCUCUUUGUGCAUAUGCCAGUUUUUGAUGCUCGAGUCCAGCUAGAACCUAUCCUAGAAUCCAAAAAGGAAACCUGAUGAGCGAUUCCGAGGUGGAUUCAACCCCUACUAGCCCUAAUAUGUGUUUAGUUUCCAGCGAUGACGCCGGCGGUCUACGUUGAACUUAAAGGUGACAACAAUGACAACGUUAGAUUUGAUGUCAUAUUCCCUCCUAGUAGGUAUAUUAUGUUUUCUUCAGUCACAUUCAUCGAUAACCGAGGGUGCAUGGCAACGGUGACGGCGACCCCAUGGCGGCGUGUCUUCCCGGUGCGUGACACCAUCGCGGUAACGCGUGGACAAUAGCUUCUCAAUCACGAGGUGCCCUUCGUUUGUACAAAUUUGAUGUCUAAAUAGUAGUUUUGGACGAUUUUCCAUAGAAUGUCUUUAAAGCUUAUUUUCAGCUUUAAAAUUAAUUCACAGGCUUAAUAGAGGUUAAAAAAAAUUC